GUAACACGUGAGUGACCUGCCUUUUAGACCGGAACAACUUACCGAAAGGUGAGCUAAUGCCGGAUGAGUUAUAUAAGUGCAUGUUUAUAUAGGAAAAGUUGGGGAGACCUGACGCUGAAAGAUGGACUCGCGUCCCAUUAGCUAGUUGGUAGGGUAAUGGCCUACCAAGGCGACGAUGGGUAGCCGGCCUGAGAGGGUGGCCGGCCACACUGGGACUGAGACACGGCCCAGACUCCUACGGGAGGCAGCAGUGGGGAAUUUUGCGCAAUGCUCGUAAGAGUGACGCAGCGACGCCGCGUGAAUGACGAAGGCCUUCGGGUCGUAAAGUUCUUUCGACAGGGAAGAAAAUGCCUAUAAGUAACUGUGUAUGUAUUGACGGUACCUGUAUAAGCAGCCCCGGCUAACUCCGUGCCAGCAGCCGCGGUAAUACGGAGGGGGCGAGCGUUGUUCGGAGUGACUGGGCGUAAAGAGCACGUAGGCGGUGUUGUAAGUCAUUAGUCAAAGACUAGAGCUCAACUUUAGUAAGGCUAGUGAUACUAUAAUACUAGAGUAUCAGAGAGGAUUGCAGAAUUCCUGGUGUAGCGGUGAAAUGCGUAGAUAUCAGGAGGAAUACCGUUAGCGAAGGCGGCAAUCUGGCUGGAAACUGACGCUGAGGUGCGAAAGCGUGGGUAGCAAACAGGAUUAGAUACCCUGGUAGU
Molecule: ribosomal RNA, 698 nt
Filed under: uncultured bacterium
Lineage: Bacteria
Description: bacterial SSU rRNA
Rfam family: Bacterial small subunit ribosomal RNA
Source: RNAcentral